UAUCUCUACAAGCCCUAGCCGCGUUCUGGCUGCGUCCCUGUUUUGUUUGCUCCGAUAUUUUUCGAUUACCAAAUCCAAGACCUGAUAUCCCUCAAAACUCUAAAUCUGUCACCUGAACUCCAUGGUCUCUUUUUAUUGAAAUCGUUAGGGAAUUUUAUGUGUUGAUGGAGGGCUGCUUUGGACGGGCAGAUGAGGAAUCUCUUAUUUAAAUGGGUAAUUUGCGUCUGAAUUAUUCCAUUGAUGUUAUCACCUUGGAGAUCUGAUGCCCUGAUCUUAUUGCUUUAUCCAUUUUUUCUACAUUUUUUUAUCCGGUGGAUGAUUGCUUGUAAUUUAAACUCCUUUUAGUUAGAGAGUCUGAGAUUGGUCCAUGGGGGACACGGAAGAGUUGGUGAGGGGAUGAUUAUGACUAGUUUCCCUAUUGGUUUGAUAGCCGGGAUGAUGGCUUUCAUUGUAUUAGCUCUAUCUGAUCACAACUCUUCUUUGCCCUCCCAUUGUCAUUUUUAUUUAUUAAAUCUUUUUGUUAAAUUAGUUUUUUUUAAUAUAUUUAUGAAGAAGGUUUGGUAAGUUUUAUGAUAAUGGUUUAUUGAGUUAUAUUUUUUUUGCUUUGAAACUUUUAAAAAGCUUACUAUUUUUUUUUGGAUGCAAGUGGUGGAAGGAAUACCUUCCUCCAAAUUUUAUUUAAAAAACUGGUAGUUUUCGUUAAGAUUUAUUUACUUUCAUGCGACUGGCCUUUGUUUUAGGAUAUAAUCUUUUUUAUUUAUUUAAGUUUUAAUUGAAUGAGAGAUUGGAAAGAGGAAAGAGGGAUGAAACAAAAUUUAUGUUUCUGUUCGAACUAUUAAGGAGAGAAAUCGAGAGAAGAAAGUUGAACAGAAACAUCUCCCUGCAUCAUGAAGAGAUUUUUUUUUUUUUUUGAAGAUUUGGAGAGAAAGGAAAGGAACUCUUCCCUCACAAAAGAAAGAAAAGGGACGUUAGUUUCUCUAACAAGAGAAAAGAAAUUUAUUGGAAAAGAAAAAGGAACUCUCUCCUUGUCAGGAUGAACAUGAGAAAAGAGAGAGGAAAUUAUAUUUAAUCCUGAUCAGUAUUUUGUGGGCAGAUGAGGAAUCUCAUAUUUAAAUGGGUAGUUUGCAUCUGAAUUGUUCCAUUGAUGUUAUCACCAGUCACCUUGGAGAUCUGAUGCCCUGAUCUUAUUGUUUUAUCCAUUUUUUUACAUUUUUUUAUUCGGUGGAUUAUUGACUGUAGUUUAAACUCCUUUUAAUUAUAGAGUUUGAGAUUGGUUCAUGGAGGGCAAGGAAGAGUCGGUGAGAGGAUGAUUAUGACUAGUUUCCCUAUUGGUUUGAUAGCCGGGAUGAUGGCUUUUAUUGUAUUAGCUCUGUCUGAUUACAUCUCUUCUUUGCCUUCCUAUUGUCAUUUUUAUUUAUUAAAUCUUUUGGUUAAAUUAGUUUUUUUUUAUUUAUUAAUGUUUUUGAAGCAUAAGCUAUAUAUACAAAAAGAAAUUCUGAUUUAAAACAUAAUCAGUUUUUUAAUUUGCUAAGAAAUAUCAAUCAAUGGGUUGAUUAGAGCAAAUGGUUGGUGAUGCUGAGGAUGAAACUGGCACACAUUAAGUAUCGGAAACAGAAAGAGAAGGCUAAGAGAAGCUUAUAUGAAUUAUCAAAGUUAGGUCAUGAAAUCAAUCUCCCCUCUUCAGAACAUGUUUGUGUUCGGGUGUCGUGAACUGAAGAAGCUUCCAUUCCAUGCACAGCAUGCAAACAACGAAAAGUUGCAGAUAUGGUGGCUUCAAGAACAUUAGAAUCUCUAAAACGUCUUCCUUCAAGGAAUGGAGAAAAGUUGCAGAUAUGGUGGCUUCAAGAACAUUAGAAUCUCCAAAACGUCAUCCUUCAAGGAAUGGAAGAAGGUUUGAUUCAUUUGGCAACCACAACUGCAACUUUCAUGUACUUGCAUUGUGUUAUGUGGCGCAUGACGCUCACCCUGGAGUGGAUCCAAUGGCCCUUCUGAAUUGUGAUGCAUUGAUAUAUUUCAUGUCCCCUUGGUGUGUAUUACAGGGGAUAUUCAGCAGAGGAUUCUGUUUAGCAAGCAAUGAGAAAGGAGUUAUUCUUUCUUUUUUCUUUUUUUUUUCUUGUUUUCUUUCUCUUUGAUUCUAAGGGAUGUAAAAUCCAUCUGAAUUCUAUAAAUAGAAAAAACGAAAUUUAAAAUUAUAAGCUCA
Long non-coding RNA from Elaeis guineensis (African oil palm), 2200 nucleotides. RefSeq lists it as uncharacterized. The record is from RefSeq and is a predicted model, not a curated record. Lineage: Eukaryota; Viridiplantae; Streptophyta; Magnoliopsida; Arecales; Arecaceae.